UACAUGUGGGGCAAGCGUUGUUCGGAAUUACUGGGCCUAAAGGGUGCGUAGGUGGCUUGUUAAGUCAGGGGUGAAAGUUUUCGGCCCAACCGGAAAAUGGCCUUUGAUACUGGCGAGCUCGAGUGCGUGAGGGGUAACCGGAACGAGCAGUGUAGCGGUGAAAUGCGUAGAUAUUGCUCGGAAGGCCAACGGCGAAGGCAGGUUACUGGUGCGCAACUGACACUGAGGCACGAAAGCGUGGGGAGCAAACAGG
This 253-nucleotide ribosomal RNA is filed under the name uncultured bacterium. Its description in RNAcentral is "partial 16S ribosomal RNA". It matches the Rfam family "Bacterial small subunit ribosomal RNA", at positions 524 to 776 of the family's 1533-position model. The record is from RNAcentral.